This 762-nucleotide ribosomal RNA is filed under the name uncultured bacterium. RNAcentral's name for it is "bacterial SSU rRNA". It matches the Rfam family "Bacterial small subunit ribosomal RNA", at positions 35 to 804 of the family's 1533-position model. The record is from RNAcentral.
GCUGGCGGCGCACAUAAGACAUGCAAGUCGAACGGACUUAACUCAUUCUUUUAGAUUGAGAGCGGUUAGUGGCGGACUGGUGAGUAACACGUAAGCAACCUGCCUAUCAGAGGGGAAUAACAGUGAGAAAUCAUUGCUAAUACCGCAUAUGCUCACAGUAUCACAUGAUACAGUGAGGAAAGGAGCAAUCCGCUGAUAGAUGGGCUUGCGCCUGAUUAGUUAGUUGGUGGGGUAACGGCCUACCAAGACGACGAUCAGUAGCCGGACUGAGAGGUUGAACGGCCACAUUGGGACUGAGAUACGGCCCAGACUCCUACGGGAGGCAGCAGUCGGGAAUAUUGCGCAAUGGAGGAAACUCUGACGCAGUGACGCCGCGUAUAGGAAGAAGGUUUUCGGAUUGUAAACUAUUGUCGUUAGGGAAGAUAAAAGACUGUACCUAAGGAGGAAGCCCCGGCUAACUAUGUGCCAGCAGCCGCGGUAAUACAUAGGGGGCAAGCGUUAUCCGGAAUUAUUGGGUGUAAAGGGUGCGUAGACGGAAGAACAAGUUGGUUGUGAAAUCCCUCGGCUCAACUGAGGAACUGCAACCAAAACUAUUCUCCUUGAGUGUCGGAGAGGAAAGUGGAAUUCCUAGUGUAGCGGUGAAAUGCGUAGAUAUUAGGAGGAACACCAGUGGCGAAGGCGACUUUCUGGACGAUAACUGACGUUGAGGCACGAAAGUGUGGGGAGCAAACAGGAUUAGAUACCCUGGUAGUCCACACUGUA